CGCCUCUUGCCAACAACCAUGUAUAAGAGGUCCAGCCUGCCCAGUGACUAUAUGUUCAACGGCCGCGGUAUUCUGACCGUGCAAAGGUAGCGUAAUCACUUGUCUUUUAAAUAAAGACUGGUAUGAAUGGCACCACGAAGGUUCAACUGUCUCCUGCAUCCAAUCCAUUAAACUGACCUCCCCGUGCAGAGGCGGGGAUAAAACCAUAAGACGAGAAGACCCUAUGGAGCUUUAAACUAAAGGCAGCUGCCAACCAAUUUUUAUCCAUAAGGAAUAACUAUUAAACAAGCAGAAAUUGACCUAAAGUUUUCGGUUGGGGCGACCACGGAGAACAAAAAAUCCUCCUUGAAGAAUAGGGCUUACAACCCUUAACCAAGAACCACUAUUCUAAGUAACAAAAUUUAUGACUGCAAUUGAUCCAGUCCUACUGAUCAACGAACCAAGUUACCCUAGGGAUAACAGCGCAAUCCAUUUCAAAAGUUCCUAUCGACAAAUGGGUUUACGAC
RNAcentral lists this ribosomal RNA (506 nucleotides) under Xenopus parafraseri (upland clawed frog). RNAcentral describes it as "partial 16S ribosomal RNA". It matches the Rfam family "Bacterial large subunit ribosomal RNA", at positions 1816 to 2524 of the family's 2925-position model. The record is from RNAcentral. Lineage: Eukaryota; Metazoa; Chordata; Amphibia; Anura; Pipidae.